GCGAGAUAUUAGUGCGGUUCAAUCAAAUAGUCGUCCUCUUUAACUUAUGGAGAUCGGUGUUGUUCGAUUGAGCCGUGCCAAUAUCACGC
This 89-nucleotide microRNA precursor is filed under the name Camelina sativa (false flax). Lineage: Eukaryota; Viridiplantae; Streptophyta; Magnoliopsida; Brassicales; Brassicaceae. The record is from RNAcentral.